CUGUUAGAGCAAUCGAAGCAGUGAACUUAAGCCCCAGUAAACGGCGGCCGUAACUAUAACGGUCCUAAGGUAGCGAAAUUCCUUGUCGGGUAAGUUCCGACCCGCACGAAAGGCGUAACGAUUUGGGCACUGUCUCAACAACAGACUCGGUGAAAUUGUAAUUCCGGUGAAGAUGCCGGAUACCUGCGACAGGACGGAAAGACCCCAUGGAGCUUUACUGUAGCUUGACAUUGGGUCUUGGUACUACAUGUACAGGAUAGGUGGGAGGCUUUGAAACCAGGACGCCAGUUUUGGCGGAGCCAUCCUUGGGAUACCACCCUUGUAGUACUGGGACUCUAACCAUAGGCCAUGAAUCUGGUCUUGGGACACUGUCAGGUGGGCAGUUUGACUGGGGCGGUCGCCUCCCAAAAGGUAACGGAGGCGCUCAAAGGUUCUCUCAGUACGGUCGGAAAUCGUACGUAGAGUGUAAAGGCAAAAGAGAGCUUGAUUGCAAGACAUACAGGUCGAGCAAGGAUGAAAAUCGGACUUAGUGAUCCGGUGGUUCUGCGUGGAAGGGCCAUCGCUCAACGGAUAAAAGCUACCCUGGGGAUAACAGGCUUAUCUCCCCCAAGAGUCCACAUCGACGGGGAGGUUUGGCACCUCGAUGUCGGCUCAUCACAUCCUGGGGCUGUAGUAGGUCCCAAGGGUUGGGCUGUUCGCCCAUUAAAGUGGUACGCGAGCUGGGUUCAGAACGUCGUGAGACAGUUCGGUCCCUAUCCGUCGCAGGCGUAGGAAAUUUGAGAAGACCUGUCCUUAG
Molecule: ribosomal RNA, 796 nt
Filed under: Clostridioides difficile
Lineage: Bacteria; Bacillati; Bacillota; Clostridia; Peptostreptococcales; Peptostreptococcaceae
Description: partial 23S ribosomal RNA
Rfam family: Bacterial large subunit ribosomal RNA
Source: RNAcentral